Molecule: ribosomal RNA, 70 nt
Filed under: Alternaria alternata
Lineage: Eukaryota; Fungi; Ascomycota; Dothideomycetes; Pleosporales; Pleosporaceae
Description: partial 28S rRNA
Rfam family: Eukaryotic large subunit ribosomal RNA (bases 13-70)
Source: RNAcentral
UUUUUCAACUUUUGACCUCGGAUCAGGUAGGGAUACCCGCUGAACUUAAGCAUAUCAAUAAGCGGAGGAA